GCCUUCGGGCGGGGAGCGGUGGACGGGUGAGUAACGCGUGGGAAUUUACCCCAAAGUCAAGAAUAACCCCGCGAAGGCGGGACUAAUGCUGGAUGUGAUCGCAAGAUCAAAGGGCUUAACUGCCCGCUUCGGGAGGAGCCUGCGUUCUAUCAGCUUGUUGGUAGGGUAAUGGCCUACCAAGGCAAUGACGGAUAGGGGCGCUGAGAGGUUGGACCCCCACGGAGGCACUGAGACACGGGCCUCACGACUACGGUCGGCAGCAAUCGGGAAUAUUGCGCAAUGGGCGAAAGCCUGACGCAGUGACACCGCGUGUGGGAUGAAGGCUUUCGGGUUGUAAACCACUUAAGUCCGAUGUCACGUCGGACGGAUAAAGCCGCGGCUAACUACGUGCCAGAAGCAUCGGUAAAGCGUAGGCGGCAAGCGUUAUCCGGAUUUAUUGGGCGUAAAGCGUUUGUAGGCGGUUUGUUAAGUCUUGUUUGAAAGCCUGCCGCUCAACGGCAGACCCGGACAAGAGACUGGCAGACUAGGAUUUGGUAGAGGAUGCUGGAACUCUAUUUGUAGGGGUGAAAUCCGUUGAUAAAUAGAGGAACAUCAAGGGCGAAGGCAAGCAUCUGGGCCAACAUCGACGCUGAGGGACGAAAGCUAGGGGAGAGAAAGGGAUUAGAGACCCCUGUAUUCCUAGCUGUAAACGAUGCCCGCUAGGCCUCUGGCUUUUAGCUGGGGGCCAUAAGCUAACGCGUUAAGCGGGCCGCCUGGGAAGUACGGCCGCAAGGCUGAAACUCAAAGGAAUUGGCGGGAACCUGCACAACCAGCGGAGCGUGUGG
Molecule: ribosomal RNA, 824 nt
Filed under: uncultured bacterium
Lineage: Bacteria
Description: bacterial SSU rRNA
Rfam family: Bacterial small subunit ribosomal RNA
Source: RNAcentral